ACUUCAGCUCCGGUGUCAGUGUUUUGAGUGCAAGAUGGGGAAGGUUUAACCCUUCCAGGAGCAGGCCCUGCAGCUCAGCUGCUGCAGCUCCCUGGGCUCCCAUGGCACCUGUUUGGGAUCAGGAUGGCAUGGCCAGACCUCCCAUCCCUGCUGGGGCACCCAGCUGGGUGCCAUUGUGGGAGCACCAGCCUCCAAAGGGAGCUUUGCCAUCUGGCUCUGCCAACUGCUGCUGCUGCAGUUCCCUCCACUCUGCCUGUCCUCUCCCAGGCUCUCACUCUUUAACCUUGGACAACGAGACAGUCAUCAUCUCCUCGCUGGCUCUACGGCUCCCUCAGAUAAGGACCUUAUUUUUUAAUCUUUCUUUCUAUUGAAUUUUAAACAUGUUCUGUUCCAAAGCCUGA
Molecule: long non-coding RNA, 401 nt
Organism: Pogoniulus pusillus (Red-fronted tinkerbird)
Lineage: Eukaryota; Metazoa; Chordata; Aves; Piciformes; Lybiidae
Exons: 2
Source: RefSeq, a predicted model, not a curated record